RNAcentral lists this long non-coding RNA (261 nucleotides) under Elaeis guineensis (African oil palm). RNAcentral describes it as "long non-coding RNA (EGUI_LNC036424)". Lineage: Eukaryota; Viridiplantae; Streptophyta; Magnoliopsida; Arecales; Arecaceae. The record is from RNAcentral.
GGCUUGACUGUCUGUCCUUUUUAAGCUCAAAUCAAAACUUUAACAUAUAUAUCGCAAUGCUCAGCUCGGGCUCAACUUCCUCUUCCAUCUAAAAAGCCAAACUUUAGAUGUUUUGCUACUCACAUUGACUCUCUUCUUUUGAACCCGUGAAACCAUGUUCGAACCACAAUACUUUUCAAAGGCAUGCCGAGGUUGUUAUCCCUAAACAAGACCACUUCUUACUACCGAGUUAUCCAAACUAUUGCAUUGUUAUUAUUCGCC